This 274-nucleotide ribosomal RNA is filed under the name uncultured bacterium. RNAcentral's name for it is "partial 16S ribosomal RNA". It matches the Rfam family "Bacterial small subunit ribosomal RNA", at positions 523 to 796 of the family's 1533-position model. The record is from RNAcentral.
AUACGGAGGGUGCAAGCGUUAAUCGGAAUUACUGGGCGUAAAGCGUACGUAGGCGGUUCGUUAAGUUAGAUGUGAAAGCCCCGGGCUUAACCUGGGAACUGCAUUUAAAACUGGCGAACUAGAGUUGAGUAGAGGGGAGUGGAAUUUCAGGUGUAGCGGUGAAAUGCGUAGAGAUCUGAAGGAACACCAGUGGCGAAGGCGGCUCCCUGGACUCAAACUGACGCUGAGGUACGAAAGCGUGGGGAGCAAACAGGAUUAGAUACCCUAGUAGUCC